GAUGAACGCUGGCGGCGUGCCUAAUACAUGCAAGUCGAGCGAAUGGAUUAAGAGCUUGCUCUUAUGAAGUUAGCGGCGGACGGGUGAGUAACACGUGGGUAACCUGCCCAUAAGACUGGGAUAACUCCGGGAAACCGGGGCUAAUACCGGAUAACAUUUUGAACCGCAUGGUUCGAAAUUGAAAGGCGGCUUCGGCUGUCACUUAUGGAUGGACCCGCGUCGCAUUAGCUAGUUGGUGAGGUAACGGCUCACCAAGGCAACGAUGCGUAGCCGCCCUGAGAGGGUGAUCGGCCACCCUGGGACUGAGACACGGCCCAGACUCCUACGGGAGGCAGCAGUAGGGAAUCUUCCGCAAUGGACGAAAGUCUGACGGAGCAACACCGCGUGAGUGAUGAAGGCUUUCGGGUCGUAAAACUCUGUUGUUAGGGAAGAACAAGUGCUAGUUGAAUAAGCUGGCACCUUGACGGUACCUAACCAGAAAGCCACGGCUAACUACGUGCCAGCAGCCGCCGCAG
Molecule: ribosomal RNA, 515 nt
Filed under: uncultured bacterium
Lineage: Bacteria
Description: partial 16S ribosomal RNA
Rfam family: Bacterial small subunit ribosomal RNA
Source: RNAcentral